RNAcentral lists this ribosomal RNA (499 nucleotides) under uncultured bacterium. RNAcentral's name for it is "partial 16S ribosomal RNA". It matches the Rfam family "Bacterial small subunit ribosomal RNA", at positions 28 to 507 of the family's 1533-position model. The record is from RNAcentral.
GACGAACGCUGGCGGCGUGCUUAACACAUGCAAGUCGAACGGGCCCGCUCUCUUUUUUGGGGGUGGGUUGAGUGGCGAACGGGUGAGUAUCACGUGAGUAACCUGCCCCCUGCUCCUGGAUAACUGCUUGAAAGGGCGGCUAAUACGGGGUGUGCCGGCUGGUCCGCAUGGGCCUGGUCGGGAUAGUUUCAUCUUCGGGUGUUUCGGUGGGGGAUGGGCUCGCGGCCUAUCAGCUUGUUGGUGGGGUGAUGGCCCACCAAGGCGGUGACGGGUAGCCGGCCUGAGAGGGUGGGCGGCCACACUGGGACUGAGACACGGCCCAGACGCCUGCGGGAGGCAGCAGUGGGGGGUAUUGCACAAUGGGCGGAAGCCUGAUGCAGCGACGUCGCGGGAGGGAUGGAGGCCUUCGGGUUGUGAACCUCUUUCUCCGGUGGUGAAGGCCCUGUCCGUUGCGGCGGGGUUGACGGUAGCCGGGUAUGAAGCGCCGGCUAACUACGUG